CGGCGAUGUCGCACAGCGGGUAGGCGGCGUUCACGACGACGCCGAGUGUGGUGGAGUGCGGGGCCGGUUCGACGGCGGCCAGCACCGGC
RNAcentral lists this transfer RNA (89 nucleotides) under Actinoplanes lobatus. Its description in RNAcentral is "tRNA-Val". Lineage: Bacteria; Bacillati; Actinomycetota; Actinomycetes; Micromonosporales; Micromonosporaceae. The record is from RNAcentral.